This 768-nucleotide ribosomal RNA is filed under the name uncultured bacterium. Its description in RNAcentral is "bacterial SSU rRNA". It matches the Rfam family "Bacterial small subunit ribosomal RNA", at positions 94 to 863 of the family's 1533-position model. The record is from RNAcentral.
AGUGGCGCACGGGUGCGUAACACGUAUGCAACCUACCUAUAACUGGGGGAUAGCCUCCCGAAAGGGAGAUUAAUACCGCAUAACAUUAUGAAGUGGCAUCACUUUAUAAUUAAAUCUACGGAGGUUAUAGAUGGGCAUGCGUCCGAUUAGCUAGUUGGUGAGGUAACGGCUCACCAAGGCUCCGAUCGGUAGGGGGUCUGAGAGGAUGAUCCCCCACACUGGUACUGAGACACGGACCAGACUCCUACGGGAGGCAGCAGUAAGGAAUAUUGGACAAUGGGCGCAAGCCUGAUCCAGCCAUGCCGCGUGAAGGAUGAAGGCCCUAUGGGUCGUAAACUUCUUUUAUACGGGAAAAAACCCCUCGAUGCGUCGGGGGUUGAUGGUACUGUAAGAAUAAGGGUCGGCUAACUUCGUGCCAGCAGCCGCGGUAAUACGAAGGACCCGAGCGUUAUCCGGAUUUAUUGGGUUUAAAGGGUGCGUAGGCGGAUUAAUAAGUCAGUGGUGAAAGCCUCUCGCUCAACGGGAGAACUGCCAUUGAUACUGUUAGUCUUGAGUAUGGUUGAGGUGGGCGGAAUGUGUCAUGUAGCGGUGAAAUGCUUAGAUAUGACACAGAACACCAAUUGCGAAGGCAGCUCGCUAAGCCAUAACUGACGCUGAUGCACGAAAGCGUGGGGAGCAAACAGGAUUAGAUACCCUGGUAGUCCACGCCCUAAACGAUGAUAACUCGUUGUUGGCGAUACACAGUCAGCGACUAAGCGAAAGCAUUAA